RNAcentral lists this long non-coding RNA (259 nucleotides) under Rattus norvegicus (Norway rat). RNAcentral describes it as "long non-coding RNA NONRATT004857". The record is from RNAcentral. Lineage: Eukaryota; Metazoa; Chordata; Mammalia; Rodentia; Muridae.
AGUUUCUACAGGAGUUACACCAGUACUUUGUUCAGUCAAAGAAUGUGGAGGGUCCAGAGGGGCUGGGCCGGAAGCAAGCCUGUCUUGCGCUACUCCUCCAUUUCUUGGAUACCUACCAAGGACUACUGCAAGAGGAAGAAGGGGCCGGUCACAUUAUCAAGGAACUGUAUCUACUAAUUAUGAAGGAUGAGUCCCUUUACCAAGACCUCCGAGAGGACACACUGAGGCUGCACCAGCUGGUGGAGACAGUGGAGCUAAA